RNAcentral lists this ribosomal RNA (393 nucleotides) under uncultured bacterium. RNAcentral's name for it is "partial 16S ribosomal RNA". It matches the Rfam family "Bacterial small subunit ribosomal RNA", at positions 523 to 918 of the family's 1533-position model. The record is from RNAcentral.
AUACGGAGGAUGCAAGCGUUAUCCGGAUUUAUUGGGUUUAAAGGGUGCGUAGGCGGUUUGCUAAGCGGGAGGUGAAAUGCCGGCGCUCAACGUCGGAAGUGCCUCCCGAACUGGUGGACUUGAAUGACUCUGCCGUGGGAGGAAUGUGUAGUGUAGCGGUGAAAUGCGUAGAUAUGCCACAGAACGCCGAUAGCGGAGGCAGCUCGCCAGGCCUGCAUUGACGCUCGGGCACGAAAGCGUGGGGAUCGAACAGGAUUAGAUACCCUGGUAGUCCACGCCGUAAACGAUGGGCGCUCGUCGUCGGCGGCAGACAGUCGGCGGCCAAGCGAAAGCGAUAAGCGCCCCACCUGGGGAGUACGGUCGCAAGGCUGAAACUCAAAUGAAUUGGCGGGG